Molecule: long non-coding RNA, 717 nt
Filed under: Mytilus galloprovincialis (Mediterranean mussel)
Lineage: Eukaryota; Metazoa; Mollusca; Bivalvia; Mytilida; Mytilidae
Source: RNAcentral
CCUGUUUUAGCAACUUUUGAGAAAGCAGUAUUCCUCGCUCAACAAAAAUCAACGUACUUUGAGCUAGAUUUAGAGUCACGUAUCAAUUGAGACACAUAUACUUCAUAUGCUGGUGCCGCUUUUUCAAAUUCAUAAAUAUAUAUGAUUUGGCAACCACCGUUCUACAUGUAAUGGACGCUUUAGAAACCUAUUUUAUAGAACACAGCAGAAAUGUGUAGAAAUGCUCUCUUCAGUUGGACUACCUACAUCAAAUGUAUUUCUUUCUAAGCAAUGUUUUGUUGUCCUAAUAAAAUGAAGCAAAUGCAUUGGUAUGCAAUGCUAGUACGAUAAGUACAGAAUAAAAUGAAAACUCAAACGGUUUUGAAAUAAUAGGCUUGGUCCUUAAUAUGCAAGAUGCAUAUAUAGUUACAAUGUAGAACAUAAAGUUGUUUAAUGACUCUAUCAAGGGUAUUGGGAAAGAUAAUGUUUGCUGUUUUUUCUACAAAAAACGAAAGACAUGGCUAAUUCUUAAUCUAAGAGCUUGCUAAAAUUAAUAAAUAAAAAUGCGUAUGGUUUCGAUUUCUGAACGCAAUAUACGGUCACCAAUCUAAAAAGUUCAUGCUCGUGUCAAUUUCUUUAUUCCAGUCAAAUGUGUUCCACGAUUCUUACGCUUUUGGGUUUCAUUCACAGUCCAAAUUUCUUGACACAAAGUCAUUGUAUAAAUAAAAUAGAUCGAAG